Molecule: non-coding RNA, 75 nt
Organism: Schistocerca piceifrons (Central American locust)
Lineage: Eukaryota; Metazoa; Arthropoda; Insecta; Orthoptera; Acrididae
Source: the annotation of a RefSeq genome assembly
GCCGGAGUGGCCGAGCGGUUAAAGGCGCUGUAGUCUGGAACACUGUGGUCGCAGGUUCGAAUCCUGCCUCGGGCA